RNAcentral lists this transfer RNA (73 nucleotides) under archaeon. Its description in RNAcentral is "tRNA-Arg". It matches the Rfam family "tRNA". From Rfam's summary of the family: Transfer RNA (tRNA) molecules are approximately 80 nucleotides in length. Their secondary structure includes four short double-helical elements and three loops (D, anti-codon, and T loops). The record is from RNAcentral. RNAcentral also lists the same sequence under 2 other names.
GCCCCCGUAGCUCAGUGGAUAGAGCACUUGCCUCCUAAGCAAGGGGUCGCGCGUUCGAAUCGCGUUGGGGGCG